GUGGUCUUGGGAGGGUUGGUUGUGGUCAUUUGUGGUGACCAGUGGUCGCUUGGGGUCAUUUAUGAUCAUGUCUUGAUGACCAGU
Molecule: non-coding RNA, 84 nt
Organism: Turdus rufiventris (rufous-bellied thrush)
Lineage: Eukaryota; Metazoa; Chordata; Aves; Passeriformes; Turdidae
Source: the annotation of a GenBank genome assembly